AUUAUGUAACAUGCCUCAGGCAAUGGAAGAAACCUAGGCUGAAAUAACCAACACUCCUUGCCAAACACUUUAGAAAGAUUAUGUUUCUUCUCCAUUAAAGAAGUAGAACAUAUGGUUCAGGAACUUACCCUAAAGGCAAAUUACAGAGGUUAAGCACGUGAUUCAGCGGCCAAAAUUGUGAGUUCAAAUGCCAACAUAUUUACUUACUAACUUCAUGACCUCUCAAAGUUGCUUCAAUGUUCUGUGACUUUGUUUCCUUAACUAUCAAACAAUGCAUACCUCAAUGUCUGCUUAAAAUUUCCAUUGGCAUAACACAUAUAAAGCUCUUAGAAGACUGCCUGGAACAGUUUGCAGCAAGAUCCUCCUAGGAAAGUAAACCAGAGAAAAUGAGGGUAGAAAUU
Molecule: long non-coding RNA, 401 nt
Organism: Sapajus apella (tufted capuchin)
Lineage: Eukaryota; Metazoa; Chordata; Mammalia; Primates; Cebidae
Exons: 3
Source: RefSeq, a predicted model, not a curated record